CCAACACACGCACAAAUCAUUUUACCGGUGCGCCUUUUACUUGGUUAUCGAAAAAAUGAACGUGGAGUAUGGAGCUGAAAAGUCUGAAGCUGCCGUUGUUGGCACCACAAUUGGCAUUAGAGAGCGUAUUGCAUCUUUUACUGAUCCUAUGCAAACACAGUUUGGGAAUUGCCCAUGAAACGACUUGGCGAUCCGCCUGAGAGUACGAUCCUAACACCGAAAUGCAAGAGGUCUCUGGUUAGGAAACAUUACCGAAAGACACCAGCACGUUAAAGCUCAACUCUAGCAGAUGAAAAUAGUGCAGAUGAAUACAUUUGUGUU
Molecule: long non-coding RNA, 321 nt
Organism: Drosophila montana
Lineage: Eukaryota; Metazoa; Arthropoda; Insecta; Diptera; Drosophilidae
Exons: 2
Source: RefSeq, a predicted model, not a curated record